Molecule: transfer RNA, 73 nt
Organism: Halothiobacillus neapolitanus c2
Lineage: Bacteria; Pseudomonadati; Pseudomonadota; Gammaproteobacteria; Chromatiales; Halothiobacillaceae
Rfam family: tRNA
About the family: Transfer RNA (tRNA) molecules are approximately 80 nucleotides in length. Their secondary structure includes four short double-helical elements and three loops (D, anti-codon, and T loops).
Source: Rfam
GGGUGAUUAGCUCAGUUGGUAGAGCGGCGCCCUUACAAGGCGUAGGUCGGGAGUUCGAGCCUCUCAUCACCCA